This 442-nucleotide ribosomal RNA is filed under the name Brevibacillus borstelensis. RNAcentral's name for it is "bacterial SSU rRNA". It matches the Rfam family "Bacterial small subunit ribosomal RNA", at positions 419 to 852 of the family's 1533-position model. Lineage: Bacteria; Bacillati; Bacillota; Bacilli; Caryophanales; Paenibacillaceae. The record is from RNAcentral.
CGGAUUGUAAAGUUCUGUUGUCAGGGACGAACACGUACCGUUCGAACAGGGCGGUACCUUGACGGUACCUGACGAGAAAGCCACGGCUAACUACGUGCCAGCAGCCGCGGUAAUACGUAGGUGGCAAGCGUUGUCCGGAUUUAUUGGGCGUAAAGCGCGCGCAGGCGGCUAUGUAAGUCUGGUGUUAAAGCCCGGGGCUCAACCCCGGUUCGCAUCGGAAACUGUGUAGCUUGAGUGCAGAAGAGGAAAGCGGUAUUCCACGUGUAGCGGUGAAAUGCGUAGAGAUGUGGAGGAACACCAGUGGCGAAGGCGGCUUUCUGGUCUGUAACUGACGCUGAGGCGCGAAAGCGUGGGGAGCAAACAGGAUUAGAUACCCUGGUAGUCCACGCCGUAAACGAUGAGUGCUAGGUGUUGGGGGUUUCAAUACCCUCAGUGCCGCAGC